Molecule: long non-coding RNA, 645 nt
Filed under: Monodelphis domestica (gray short-tailed opossum)
Lineage: Eukaryota; Metazoa; Chordata; Mammalia; Didelphimorphia; Didelphidae
Description: lncRNA (ENSMODG00000032606.2)
Source: RNAcentral
AAAAGGUGCUCAGUACCUAUAAAGGUUAAAUUAAUCACUAAAAGGUCAAGCAACUUACAAAAGUCAAGCUUAACAAAAGAGGUGUGAAGUACUCAGAGGAUUUAAUUUAACCAGAGAAGGUGAGAACAAAAGAAGAUGAGAACUAAGAAUGGGCAGUCCUGGGGAAAGUGUCUACUGUGACUGGUAGACAUGAAAAUUUAGGGGAGGUGACAUAAGAGAAAAUUUCUUUAAAAGGAGAAGGCAGUUCAGGUAAUUGAGGAGUUCGAAACUGAGUUAGUUGGAGUUGGAGUUCAGAGGGUUGGAGCUUGCUUGAAGAUGAUCUUGUGAUGCAGUUCAGUAUCAUGGCUAUAGUUCUGGACUUGUAGUCAAGGAGGUUUGGACUGAAACCUGUCUCUGACACUUAUAAGGACUUAGAACUGUGCCUGAUACCUAGCAAGCAACUAGCCAGUGUUUGUGGAUGGAUUGAUCUUCCCAGUUUAGAUUUUCCCUCCAUCUAUGAAGAUCUUCGCUCUUCCGCUCUUCACACAGUAGGAACAUAAUAAAUACAUGAACUGAAUCCUCUAUAGCUUUUGCCAUAUAAUUUAGUAUUAGUCACUCUUUUGUUUUCUUCUCCAUUGCUCUAGUUGUCCUUGUCUCUCCAGGUAG